AGUCACUGACGAGUUUGAUCCGUGGCUCGAGGAUGAACGCUAGCGGGAGGCCUAAUACAUGCAAGUCGAACGGUAAGGUCCCUUCGGGGAUACACGAGUGGCGGACGGGUGCGUAACGCGUACGAAACAUACCUUCAACAGGGAGAUACCUCCGGGAAACUGGAAAUAAUACCCCAUAGUAUUGUGACAUCGCAUGAUGUUACAAUUAAAGCUUUGGCGGUUGAAGAUUGUCGUGCGUCUGAUUAGCUAGUUGGUGAGGUAACGGCUCACCAAGGCGACGAUCAGUAGCUGGUCUGAGAGGAUGAUCAGCCACACUGGAACUGAGACACGGUCCAGACUCCUACGGGAGGCAGCAGUAGGGAAUAUUGGACAAUGGGCGGAAGCCUGAUCCAGCCAUCCCGCGUGUAGGAAUAAGGCCCUAUGGGUUGUAAACUACUUUUAUUAGGGAAGAAAAACUUUGAUUUAUCAGAGCUUGACGGUACCUAAGGAAUAAGCACCGGCUAACUCCGUG
This 511-nucleotide ribosomal RNA is filed under the name uncultured bacterium. Its description in RNAcentral is "bacterial SSU rRNA". It matches the Rfam family "Bacterial small subunit ribosomal RNA", at positions 1 to 507 of the family's 1533-position model. The record is from RNAcentral.